This 492-nucleotide ribosomal RNA is filed under the name uncultured bacterium. RNAcentral describes it as "partial 16S ribosomal RNA". It matches the Rfam family "Bacterial small subunit ribosomal RNA", at positions 29 to 507 of the family's 1533-position model. The record is from RNAcentral.
AGUGAACGCUGGCGGUAGGCCUAACACAUGCAAGUCGAACGGCAGCACAGUAAGAGCUUGCUCUUACGGGUGGCGAGUGGCGGACGGGUGAGGAAUACAUCGGAAUCUACUUUUUCGUGGGGGAUAACGUAGGGAAACUUACGCUAAUACCGCAUACGACCUACGGGUGAAAGCAGGGGAUCUUCGGACCUUGCGCGAUUGAAUGAGCCGAUGUCGGAUUAGCUAGUUGGCUGGGUAAAGGCCCACCAAGGCGACGAUCCGUAGCUGGUCUGAGAGGAUGAUCAGCCACACUGGAACUGAGACACGGUCCAGACUCCUACGGGAGGCAGCAGUGGGGAAUAUUGGACAAUGGGCGCAAGCCUGAUCCAGCCAUACCGCGUGGGUGAAGAAGGCCUUCGGGUUGUAAAGCCCUUUUGUUGGGAAAGAAAAGCAGCAGGUUAAUACGCCGAUGUUCUGACGGUACCCAAAGAAUAAGCACCGGCUAACUUCGUG